GAUGAACGCUGGCGGCGUGCCUAAUACAUGCCAGUCGAGCGAACGGACGAGAAGCUUGCUUCUCUGAUGUUAGCGGCGGACGGGUGAGUAACACGUGGAUAACCUACCUAUAAGACUGGGAUAACUUCGGGAAACCGGAGCUAAUACCGGAUGAUAUUUUGAACCGCAUGGUUCAAAAGUGAAAGACGGUCUUGCUGUCACUUAUAGAUGGAUCCGCGCUGCAUUAGCUAGUUGGUAAGGUAACGGCUUACCAAGGCAACGAUGCAUAGCCGACCUGAGAGGGUGAUCGGCCACACUGGAACUGAGACACGGUCCAGACUCCUACGGGAGGCAGCAGUAGGGAAUCUUCCGCAAUGGGCGAAAGCCUGACGGAGCAACGCCGCGUGAGUGAUGAAGGUCUUCGGAUCGUAAAACUCUGUUAUUAGGGAAGAACAUAUGUGUAAGUAACUGUGCACAUCUUGACGGCACCUAAUCAGAAAGCCACGGCUAACUACGUG
Molecule: ribosomal RNA, 497 nt
Filed under: uncultured bacterium
Lineage: Bacteria
Description: partial 16S ribosomal RNA
Rfam family: Bacterial small subunit ribosomal RNA
Source: RNAcentral